Molecule: non-coding RNA, 2420 nt
Organism: Manis javanica (Malayan pangolin)
Lineage: Eukaryota; Metazoa; Chordata; Mammalia; Pholidota; Manidae
Source: RefSeq, a predicted model, not a curated record
AUCAGCUAGAUUGGAUGCUUCCCAAUUAAUGAAUCAUUGAAUAAAGCCAGUAAGAUCUUCCAAUAUUACUCAGAUUGAAUUUUUUUAACAGCAUUAUUCAUGGAUUUUCUCAUUUAAUCUUACCAACGUUAUAAGGCGUUAGAUCCGGGAGAGCUGCUCUGGUAAAGGAAGACCGAGGCAAGGAGAAGGACUCACAUCAGCCUUACAGUUUUUGACUCAGGUACCUCUUGUGUCUUUGGCCUUUCAUUAGGCUAUUGCAAUGAAUCUUUCAGUGAAGCUAUUUUGGAGUCUUUAAGUCUUCUGGAAGCUUCUGCAUGCCAAUUAAAUUAGGUAUCCCAUGCUGUUUGUUUGAUUUGGGAACCCUUACUUUCAAGUGCACAUCUUAAAUAUACGAUCCUGUCUAGUUGGAAUGUUCCACAUAAUGGCUAUUUAAAUUCUAGGUUGUCUUAAUAAGAUUUUGUCAUUUCUGUAGAUUCAACAGCUUCAAGGAUGACAGUUCUUUGACAUAAAAUAAGCAGGUGCUAGAAGGUGGCUUGCUUAAUUUUUUGAAACUUGAAGAUCUUACUUCUUUAGCUAAGCCUUGGGUAUCUUAGAGGCAAAUUCAUACCUAAGACAGAUGUGCUGCUUUUUUGGAAAUUGUGUGGUAUUUUAGUUUACCUUGUUGCAUAGAAAUUUUCUUGAGGUUGGUAGAUGACCUAGUGUUGAUUGAACCCAUUCUGUGACCAAUUUAUCCUAGCAUGAGAGCCUUAGGGUUAAGGUGGUGAGCACUUUAACAGCUUUAAAGUGCUUGAACCAUGCCCACCAGUUUUGCAGCUUUGGCUUCCAAGAUUCCUAUUAGCAAUAGAUCUAUUAUUCCUUUCAUGAGAAUAGUUAUUUAUAGUGGCAGACACUAAUGGCUUUUAAUAGUCCCAACUUGCACCUACUUAGAUUUUGAUGUGCUGUUGAUCAAAAAAGUCUAAAUUUUUGUCUUAAUUGUUUCCCCAAGUACCCAGCAGUUUAUGACGGUGGACUUAACUCAGGGCUUUGUGAGUCCCUUAAUGGCUGCCAUCAAGCUUUCUUUAGAUUGAGGGGUACCCAUCAUUUUUCCCUUGUAGAAAUAAUCCUCAUUAAUUCCACCAGACAUGCUGUUGCCAGCUGCCUCAGCCCAGUUCCUGAACCUGUCAGUACCUCCCACAGGCAUUCACCUUUCAGUUGAGGUUGGCCACAAACCCAAAUGUUGGAGCCCUUUAAGUCUCACUGUGAAAAAUCUAGAGUCUUUCCUACCCCAAUUUUCUACCAGGAAGGAUUAGAACAAAGAAACUUGAAGAACUCAGAAUGUGAAAAUAGGUCAAAUAUCUGAGAAACAUUUACUAGAGAUCUUGGAAAGCAGUGGAAGAGACAGCACCCCAAAAAGGCUCUGUGUGUAUCUUAAGAUACACACAUCUAAGAGCUGACCCAGAAGCAUUUAGGGGCUCGCUUUGGAUCCCAUUCUCAUUAUGAAAACUGUCAAAUGACAAAACUAAAACAGUUUAGUGACAAAUUUGAUGUUCUUCAUUCAAGGGGAAAGCGAUCCACGGACUGGGGGAUACAGUGUAGAGCACAGGGACCUGGGGCAAGGACAAGUCCCACAGAGUGUCGGAUGAGGCCUCAUGGAAACAGGACACGGUCGGCUAGGAGGUCAGGGAUCUCCGCAUAAGGCUAGAAGCUCCUGCUUCUGGGGUAAGGUGAGCUGUCUAAAGCUGCUUGGAGAACUGUGAUUGCUGUAUGUGAAGAUUCCUUCACAGAUUUCCAUACCUAUUUCAUUUAUGUUUCACAGACUUAGGUUUAGAUUUAUGAGAUGGGUCAGGCCAUGGGGUAGCCUUCAUUUCUGGGUCUAAAUAUACAAAUUAACUUUAUCAGUUUCUAGUGAUAUGUUUAAAGUACUGAUAUCAACUUAUUAGGGUCUUGUCAUUGGUAGAGAAAUAUUUUCCACGGAAGCGUCAGAUAAGGGAUGAAGGUACAUUGUGGGAUGGGCUAGACUGGGGCCAGUGCUAUUGAGGUUUCUGAAGACUGCAGAGUGUGAGAACGUUCCACAGUCUCAUUUCCUUGAGUAUUACAGCUUGCUUCCUGCCAGGGCAUUUGAGAAAGAGGCAUCUCUCCUGGGGACCCCAGAAUAUCUCAUGGACUAUGGGUUAUUGAAGGUGAGCAAAUGGCGAUGGGGAUGAUGACAGAAAGCAAGAAAAGGAAGCUAGAAUUCAUGAUUCAUUAGGUACCCACAAAGCACCGAACUUUGCUAGCCCACAAAUUCUCUUUUAUUUUAUAAAAACCUUGACUGCUGUGUUACUCAAUCAGGGCCAGUUUUGCCACCGAGAGACCAUUUCUCAACGUGUAGAGACAUUUUUGUGUUCACAGCUGGACUUGGCAGGGGGUGUGCCAUGCGAAUCUAGUGGGGAGAGGCGAGG